GAUGAACGCUGGCGGCGUGCCUAAUACAUGCAAGUCGAGCGAACAGACGAGGAGCUUGCUCCUCUGACGUUAGCGGCGGACGGGUGAGUAACACGUGGAUAACCUACCUAUAAGACUGGGACAACUUCGGGAAACCGGAGCUAAUACCGGAUAAUAUAUUGAACCGCAUGGUUCAAUAGUGAAAGACGGUUUUGCUGUCACUUAUAGAUGGAUCCGCGCCGCAUUAGCUAGUUGGUAAGGUAACGGCUUACCAAGGCAACGAUGCGUAGCCGACCUGAGAGGGUGAUCGGCCACACUGGAACUGAGACACGGUCCAGACUCCUACGGGAGGCAGCAGUAGGGAAUCUUCCGCAAUGGGCGAAAGCCUGACGGAGCAACGCCGCGUGAGUGAUGAAGGUCUUCGGAUCGUAAAACUCUGUUAUUAGGGAAGAACAAAUGUGUAAGUAACUAUGCACGUCUUGACGGUACCUAAUCAGAAAGCCGCGGCUAACUACG
Molecule: ribosomal RNA, 495 nt
Filed under: uncultured bacterium
Lineage: Bacteria
Description: partial 16S ribosomal RNA
Rfam family: Bacterial small subunit ribosomal RNA
Source: RNAcentral